GGCGUGCCUGAGACAUGCAAGUCGUGGGAGAAUGUCGUAGCAAUACGGCUAGUAAACCGGCGCACGGGUGAGUAACACGUGAACAAUUUGCCCUUGAGUCUGGGAUAACCCGUCGAAAGACGAGCUAAUACCGGAUAAGACCACGGCCAGUUCGCUGGCUGAGGUAAAAGAUGGCCUCUGCUCCUGCAAGCUAUCACUCAUCGAGAAGUUCGCGGCCUAUCAGCUAGUUGGUGAGGUAACGGCCCACCAAGGCGAAGACGGGUAGCUGGUCUGAGAGGAUGGUCAGCCACACUGGGACUGAGACACGGCCCAGAGUCCUACGGGAUGCAGCAGUCAGGAAUAUUGCGCAAUGGAGGAAACUCUGACGCAGCGACGCCGCGUGGGUGAUGAAGGCCUUCGGGUCGUAAAGCCCUGUCGGAGGGGAAGAAAAGCGCCGUAGCUAAUAUCUACGGUGCUCUUGACGGUACCCUCAAAGGAAACACCGGCUAACUCCGUGCCAGCAGCCGCGGUAA
Molecule: ribosomal RNA, 512 nt
Filed under: uncultured delta proteobacterium
Lineage: Bacteria; Deltaproteobacteria
Description: bacterial SSU rRNA
Rfam family: Bacterial small subunit ribosomal RNA
Source: RNAcentral